GGUGAGUAACACGUGGGCAACCUGCCUGUAAGACUGGGAUAACUUCGGGAAACCGAAGCUAAUACCGGAUAGGAUCUUCUCCUUCAUGGGAGAUGAUUGAAAGAUGGUUUCGGCUAUCACUUACAGAUGGGCCCGCGGUGCAUUAGCUAGUUGGUGAGGUAACGGCUCACCAAGGCAACGAUGCAUAGCCGACCUGAGAGGGUGAUCGGCCACACUGGGACUGAGACACGGCCCAGACUCCUACGGGAGGCAGCAGUAGGGAAUCUUCCGCAAUGGACGAAAGUCUGACGGAGCAACGCCGCGUGAGUGAUGAAGGCUUUCGGGUCGUAAAACUCUGUUGUUAGGGAAGAACAAGUACAAGAGUAACUGCUUGUACCUUGACGGUACCUAACCAGAAAGCCACGGCUAACUACGUGCCAGCAGCCGCGGUAAUACGUAGGUGGCAAGCGUUAUCCGGAAUUAUUGGGCGUAAAGCGCGCGCAGGCGGUUUCUUAAGUCUGAUGUGAAAGCCCACGGCUCAACCGUGGAGGGUCAUUGGAAACUGGGGAACUUGAGUGCAGAAGAGAAAAGCGGA
This 574-nucleotide ribosomal RNA is filed under the name Bacillus sp. (in: firmicutes). RNAcentral's name for it is "bacterial SSU rRNA". It matches the Rfam family "Bacterial small subunit ribosomal RNA", at positions 105 to 665 of the family's 1533-position model. The record is from RNAcentral. Lineage: Bacteria; Bacillati; Bacillota; Bacilli; Caryophanales; Bacillaceae.